UCCACACUCCGGCAAGAUUGAAGGACGCUCGGCGUAGGAGUUCCAGAGAGAACGUUCGACUGGUGAAGCUGUGGAUUAACGAGCGCUUGUUAUUGGAAUUUGAGUAGAGAAUCUGUGAACGUUCGUCAUUUCCGGAGGGAGAUGAGCGUUUGGAAGAAGCAUUGAAUGAAGAGAGCCUGGUUGAUGUUGAAGUGAAGAUCGAGCAGUGAGAUCGCUCGGCCAGUAU
Molecule: long non-coding RNA, 226 nt
Organism: Vigna angularis (adzuki bean)
Lineage: Eukaryota; Viridiplantae; Streptophyta; Magnoliopsida; Fabales; Fabaceae
Exons: 3
Source: RefSeq, a predicted model, not a curated record